This 458-nucleotide ribosomal RNA is filed under the name uncultured bacterium. RNAcentral's name for it is "bacterial SSU rRNA". It matches the Rfam family "Bacterial small subunit ribosomal RNA", at positions 60 to 524 of the family's 1533-position model. The record is from RNAcentral.
AGUCGAGCGGGGUAGCAAUAUCCAGCGGCGGACGGGUGAGGAAUACAUAGGAAUCUGCCUUUAGGUGGGGGAUAGCUUGGGGAAACUCAGGGUAAUACCGCAUGAUCUCGCAAGAGCAAAGUGGGGGAUCGCAAGACCUCACGCCUUUAGAGGAGCCUAUGUCUGAUUAGCUUGUUGGUGAGGUAAUGGCUCACCAAGGCGACGAUCAGUAACUGGUCUGAGAGGACGAUCAGUCACACCGGAACUGAGACACGGUCCGGACUCCUACGGGAGGCAGCAGUGGGGAAUUUUGGACAAUGGGCGAAAGCCUGAUCCAGCAAUGCCGCGUGAGUGAAGAAGGCCUUCGGGUUGUAAAGCUCUUUUGUCAGGGGAAAAAACGGUGAGGGCUAAUAUCUCUUGCUAAUGACGGUACCUGAAGAAUAAGCACCGGCUAACUACGUGCCAGCAGCCGCGGUAAU